This 142-nucleotide ribosomal RNA is filed under the name Clostridioides difficile. RNAcentral's name for it is "partial 23S ribosomal RNA". It matches the Rfam family "Bacterial large subunit ribosomal RNA", at positions 2788 to 2925 of the family's 2925-position model. The record is from RNAcentral. Lineage: Bacteria; Bacillati; Bacillota; Clostridia; Peptostreptococcales; Peptostreptococcaceae.
CGAAGCCAACUUCAAGAUAAGAUUUCCCACCGCAAGGGUAAGACCCCAGAAAGACUAUCUGGUUGAUAGGUCGAAGGUGUAAGUGCAGCAAUGUAUUUAGCUUAUCGAUACUAAUAGGUCGAGGACUUGACCAAUAUUUAUU